CGCAAGGCGGAUGCAUCAUUCGUAAGACCCGAAGCCAGGCGAGCUUACCAUGACCAGGGUGAACCCCGACGAAAGUCGGCCGGAGGCCCGAACCCGUAGAUCGUUCAACUUCUUGGGAUGAGUUGUGGUAAGAAGUGAAAAGCUUACCGAGCCUGGUGAUAGCUGGUUCUCCCCGAAAUAGCUUUAGGGCUAGCCUUUAUCAAACAUUUUGGAGGUAGAGCGCUGGAAAGAAUGUCCUUGACGCAAGUCAGGUAUUCUUACCAAACUUCGAAUGCCAAAGUGAAAAAGAUAAAGAGUUAGAACGCGGGGGCUAAGCUCCGCGCUCGAGAGGGAAACAGCCCAGACCUUAAUCUAAGGUCCCUAAAUUCAGCUAAGUGCAAAUUAAGGAAGUGGAGUUCCACAGAUAGCUAGGAGGUUCGCUCAGAAGCAGCUAUCCUUUAAAAAGUGCGUAACAGCUUACUAGCUAAGGGAUUCUGCGCCGCAGAUUCAUCGGGGCUAAGCUGAAUACCGAAGAUAAGGCUUCCGCCGCAAGGCGGAGGGGUAGGGGAGCGUCUUCAUUGCGUUGAAGCCCCGUCGUAAGACGAGGUGGAGCGAUGAGGAGUGAGAGUGCUGGGAUGAGUAACCACAACCAGGGUGAGAGCCCCUGGCACCGAAAACCUGAGGUUUCCUUGGCAAUGAUAAUCAUCCAAGGGUUAGGCGGGCCUUAGGGAGAUAUCAAAUGGUAUCUUCUGAUGGACAGCCGGUUCAUAUUCCGGCCCCCCGCACUUUUCCGAAGAGCGACGCGACUUGGGACUCCGAGCGGAUUAUUGGAUUUCCGUUUCCGCAAGGACGAAGUCAGGACUACGGUUCUGGCGACUCGGACGAACAAGGAGCCCAGAAAAACUCUGAGGUUAUGAAGUGUUGGGUCCGUACCGCAAACCGACACAGGUGGGUUAGUAUAAAUGUACUAAGGUGAACGGGUGAAAGCUCCUGAAGGAACUAGGCAAAAAAGUGUCUGUAAGUUCGCGAUAAGGACUUCCCGCCGUUGAGGCGGGACGCAGCGAAAGUAUCCCUGGCGACUGUUUACCAAAAACACAGGUCUCUGCUCAACUCCAAAAGAGGAUGUAUAGGGGCUGACGCCUGACCAGUGCUGGAGUGUUAAAGGUGGCGGUUUUACCGCAAGGUAAGGCUGACUGCCCGAAGCCCCAGUGAACGUCCGCGGUAACUAUAACCGUGUUAAAGUAGCGUAAUCUCUUGCCUGGUAAGUUCAGGCCCGCACGAAAGGCGUCACGACUUGGGAACUGUCUCCAGGAGCUGCCCGGUGAAAAUGCAAUACCGGUGAAGAUGCCGGUUACCUGCGGCUAGACGGAAAGACCCCGGGAGCUUUACUGUAGCUUCUUAUUGUUUUAUCGUUUUGCAUGCGUAGCAUAGUGGGGAGGCUUUGAAGUCCGCCUUUCGGGGCGGGUGGAGCCAACAGUGAAAUACCCAUCUUGCGAAAUGAUAAAUCUAAUCCGCCUUGGGCGGAGACAGUGGGAGGCGGUCAGUUUUAGUGGGGCGCUAGCCUCCUAAAGAGUAGCGGAGGCGUUUAAAGGUCAGCUAGCUCCGGAUGGAAAUCGGAGCGGUCGUGUAAAGGCACAAGCUGGCUUAACUGCGAGACGGAUAUGUCGAGCAGAUGGGAAACCAGAACACCUCGAUGUCGGCUCAUCUUAUCCUGGGGCUGAAGAAGGUCCCAAGGGUCUGGCUGUUCGCCAGUUAAAAAGGUACGUGAGCUGGGUUCAAACCGUCGUGAGACAGGUUGGUCCCUUUCUACCGCAGGCGUCGAGUCUUGAGGAGAUUUAUCUCUAGUACGAGAGGACCGAGAUGAACGAACCUCUGGUGUACCAGUUGUCGUGCCAACGGCAUCGCUGGGUAGCUAUGUUCGGCUAGGAUAAGCGCUGAAAGCAUCUAAGCGCGAAGCCAACUCCAAGAUGAGGACUCAAAGAUCCCUCCGAGAUGAGGAGGUUGAUAGGCUCCAGAUGUAAGUCCCGCAAGGGAUUCAGUCGAGGAGUACUAAUGAAUUGGCGGAGGGUUUGAAGAUCAAAAGGGGCUUGGGCCAACGCGGCUCAAAGAGUAUCUUACGAAAUUCGGUUGGGGCUCUAAAACCGGGAUAGACCUGCCGGGUGAAGGGAAGGGUCUUGUUCCGGAUCCUGAAUGGA
Molecule: ribosomal RNA, 2174 nt
Filed under: Parcubacteria group bacterium GW2011_GWA1_49_26
Lineage: Bacteria
Description: partial 23S ribosomal RNA
Rfam family: Bacterial large subunit ribosomal RNA
Source: RNAcentral